This 404-nucleotide ribosomal RNA is filed under the name Actinomycetes bacterium. RNAcentral describes it as "Actinobacteria bacterium partial 16S ribosomal RNA". It matches the Rfam family "Bacterial small subunit ribosomal RNA", at positions 355 to 776 of the family's 1533-position model. Lineage: Bacteria; Bacillati; Actinomycetota; Actinomycetes. The record is from RNAcentral.
UGGGGAAUAUUGGACAAUGGGCGCAAGCCUGAUCCAGCCAUGCCGCGUGAGUGAUGAAUGCCCUAGGGUUGUAAAGCUCUUUCACCGGUGAAGAUAAUGACGGUAACCGGAGAAGAAGCCCCGGCUAACUUCGUGCCAGCAGCCGCGGUAAUACGAAGGGGGCUAGCGUUGUUCGGAUUUACUGGGCGUAAAGCGCACGUAGGCGGACUUUUAAGUCAGCGGUGAAAUCCCGGGGCUCAACCCCGGAACUGCCUUUGAUACUGGAAGUAUUGAGUAUAGUAGAAGUGAGUGGAAUUCCGAGUGUAGAGGUGAAAUUCGUAGAUAUUCGGAGGAACACCAGUGGAGAAGGCGGCUCACUGGACCAUUACUGACGCUGAGGUGCGCAAGCGAGGGGAGCAAACAGG